GACGAACGCUGGCGGCGUGCUUAACACAUGCAAGUCGAGCGGUAAGGCCCUUCGGGUACACGAGCGGCGAACGGGUGAGUAACACGUGGGUGACCUGCCCUUAGCUCUGGGAUAAGCCUGGGAAACUGGGUCUAAUACCGGAUAUGACCUCAUGACGCAUGUUGUGGGGUGGAAAGCCUUGUGCGGCUAGGGAUGGGCCCGCGGCCUAUCAGCUUGUUGGUGGGGUGAUGGCCACCAAGGCGACGACGGGUAGCCGGCCUGAGAGGGCGACCGGCCACACUGGGACUGAGACACGGCCCAGACUCCUACGGGAGGGCAGCAGGUGGGGGAAUCUUGCGCAAUGGGCGAAAGCCUGACGCAGCGACGCCGCGUGAGGGAUGAC
RNAcentral lists this ribosomal RNA (382 nucleotides) under uncultured bacterium. RNAcentral's name for it is "bacterial SSU rRNA". It matches the Rfam family "Bacterial small subunit ribosomal RNA", at positions 28 to 412 of the family's 1533-position model. The record is from RNAcentral.